Molecule: ribosomal RNA, 483 nt
Filed under: Streptomyces griseoaurantiacus
Lineage: Bacteria; Bacillati; Actinomycetota; Actinomycetes; Kitasatosporales; Streptomycetaceae
Description: bacterial SSU rRNA
Rfam family: Bacterial small subunit ribosomal RNA
Source: RNAcentral
GGCGAACGGGUGAGUAACACGUGGGCAAUCUGCCCUGCACUCUGGGACAAGCCCUGGAAACGGGGUCUAAUACCGGAUACAACCACUGACCGCAUGGUCGGGUGGUGGAAAGCUCCGGCGGUGCAGGAUGAGCCCGCGGCCUAUCAGCUUGUUGGUGAGGUAGUGGCUCACCAAGGCGACGACGGGUAGCCGGCCUGAGAGGGCGACCGGCCACACUGGGACUGAGACACGGCCCAGACUCCUACGGGAGGCAGCAGUGGGGAAUAUUGCACAAUGGGCGAAAGCCUGAUGCAGCGACGCCGCGUGAGGGAUGACGGCCUUCGGGUUGUAAACCUCUUUCAGCAGGGAAGAAGCGAAAGUGACGGUACCUGCAGAAGAAGCGCCGGCUAACUACGUGCCAGCAGCCGCGGUAAUACGUAGGGCGCAAGCGUUGUCCGGAAUUAUUGGGCGUAAAGAGCUCGUAGGCGGCUUGUCACGUCGGUU